Long non-coding RNA from Arabidopsis lyrata subsp. lyrata, 1373 nucleotides. RefSeq lists it as uncharacterized. The transcript has 3 exons. The record is from RefSeq and is a predicted model, not a curated record. Lineage: Eukaryota; Viridiplantae; Streptophyta; Magnoliopsida; Brassicales; Brassicaceae.
AAUCAUAAGAAAAUCCAAGCUACUAAUUGAGAUUAUGUGUUGCAAGCCUCAAAUAUAACGUUUGUAUUUUCUCAUCUAAACGACGCCUCAUGACCUUCUUACUUUUCUUCUUAAAAUUCAUCAAGACUCCUUCACCUAUGUCAAAUCUAUUAAAGACCGUCAAAUCUAUGGUAAUCAUCGGUUAAAUUUUAGGGUUAAUCCUCCAGCUUCCUCCUGCGCAAACGAGAAUGGCUCUGCAAAAGCUACAAAAGAAUGUUCUAGCAGAACCCUAGGGCUUACGGAUCUGUGAUCGGCGUCCAGAGAGACCAUACGGUAAUGAUUUUCAACAACUUCGACCUUCUUAACGAUCCUUCGACUCAAAGACAUCCUCCAUGGAUCCUUUCUCCAGAAGAUGAAAGAGCAUAAGUUUACUCUCUUCCUUUUUUUGUUCUGUUUUAUUCAUGGGUUUUCAUUAAAAUUAUUCAGGUUUUCUUACUUAUCAAAUAAGAAGGUAUCCCCUACUUCUACAUGUUGGGAUGUUACUCUUUGUGAAUCUGAUUUGCAUAUCCACAGAGUCGUGAGUCCAUGCCUUCUAACUCUAUCACUGAUAUGUAUGCUUCAGAUUUUGUCUCACUGUACUAAAAAGUGAGGUGAUAUCAAUGAAAUUUAUGUUUAUGUCCUUAUAAAUCCAGUGAUCAAUCAUGCACAAAAAAAAUCUCCCGGUCACUAUUUGUGAAAAUGGUAUGUUUUUAAUUAGUCUUCUUUCUUUUACAGGUCUUAAUUGUAUCUGAUCUCCCUAUUUGAAGAAUUCCAUGUCCUUGAUGGAAUCUUGCAACUGAUUUGCGUUCAUAUAUAUAAGAUACAAAACAAAAACAAGACGAUUGAAGCUGAACGGAAUCAAUGGAAUCAAUCGAUUAUGUUUCACAUCUCAAACCAUAGGGGAAAUAACAGUAGCCACUCAGUGUGAGCCUUAUGUCCCUCAUACUUAUUGUCUAUGUUGCAAUAAAGAAAAAAAAAGAAAGAAAAAAAGAAGUGUCAAAAGAUGACCAUGUUGCAAAGGAUCUUGAUCGGCUAAGAUGGAAACUCUGAAGACAUUGGAAUCCAUUUUCAAGCAGCCACCUUCCACUAACGCUUAGAUAAAAAAAAAAUUAUUAAUCAAUUCCUUAUCUACUAGAUCAAAAGGCGUACUCAACCGCAUCUUAUUACCUAUGUAAACAAUAUCCUUCAGAAUUGACUUUUUUAAGCUAAUCUAAUAAAGUUGUUGACAAAAAAAAAAAAAAAAAUUCAAAAGUAAAACAACAAAACUGAAUCAUAUCAAUUCUUAUAUCUGAAAUUUCUGUUGAAUCACAACGUCUUAGAACUUAAUGAAGAGACAUAUCAUAGGGUGAGGAUUA